RNAcentral lists this ribosomal RNA (253 nucleotides) under uncultured bacterium. Its description in RNAcentral is "partial 16S ribosomal RNA". It matches the Rfam family "Bacterial small subunit ribosomal RNA", at positions 524 to 776 of the family's 1533-position model. The record is from RNAcentral.
UACGGAGGGUGCAAGCGUUAAUCGGAAUUACUGGGCGUAAAGCGCGCGUAGGCGGUUGGGUAAGUCAGAUGUGAAAGCCCCGGGCUUAACCUGGGAACUGCAUUUGAUACUGUCUGACUCGAGUAUGGUAGAGGGGGGUGGAAUUCCCGGAGUAGCGGUGAAAUGCGUAGAUAUCGGGAGGAACACCAGUGGCGAAGGCGGCCCCCUGGACCAAUACUGACGCUGAGGUGCGAAAGCGUGGGGAGCAAACAGG